CCACCGAUAGCUCAGUUGGUAGAGCGGAAGACUGUAGACCUUUUAUCGCUGGUUCGAAUCCGGCUCGGUGGA
RNAcentral lists this transfer RNA (72 nucleotides) under Lytechinus variegatus (green sea urchin). RNAcentral's name for it is "tRNA-Tyr". It matches the Rfam family "tRNA". Rfam says of the family: Transfer RNA (tRNA) molecules are approximately 80 nucleotides in length. Lineage: Eukaryota; Metazoa; Echinodermata; Echinoidea; Temnopleuroida; Toxopneustidae. The record is from RNAcentral.